This 253-nucleotide ribosomal RNA is filed under the name uncultured bacterium. RNAcentral's name for it is "partial 16S ribosomal RNA". It matches the Rfam family "Bacterial small subunit ribosomal RNA", at positions 524 to 776 of the family's 1533-position model. The record is from RNAcentral.
AACGUAGGGGGCCAGCGUUGCUCGGAAUUACUGGGCGUAAAGGGUCUGUAGGCGGUGCGGCAAGUCGGAAGUGAAAUCGCAGGGCUUAACUCUGCGGCUGCUUCCGAAACUGCCGUGCUCGAGUGUGAGAUAGGCGAGUGGAAUUGCAGGUGUAGCGGUGAAAUGCGCAGAUAUCAGGAGGAACACCGGUGGCGAAGGCGGGUCUCUGGGCCGAUAUUGACGCUGAGGAGCGAAAGCGUGGGGAGCAAGCAGG